This 303-nucleotide ribosomal RNA is filed under the name uncultured bacterium. RNAcentral describes it as "partial 16S ribosomal RNA". It matches the Rfam family "Bacterial small subunit ribosomal RNA", at positions 507 to 809 of the family's 1533-position model. The record is from RNAcentral.
AGCAGUCGCCGCGGUAAUACGGAGGAUCCAAGCGUUAUCCGGAAUCAUUGGGUUUAAAGGGUCCGUAGGCGGUCUUGUAAGUCAGUGGUGAAAGCCCAUCGCUCAACGGUGGAACGGCCAUUGAUACUGCAGGACUUGAAUUAUUGGGAAGUAACUAGAAUAUGUAGUGUAGCGGUGAAAUGCUUAGAGAUUACAUGGAAUACCAAUUGCGAAGGCAGGUUACUACCAAUUGAUUGACGCUGAUGGACGAAAGCGUGGGUAGCGAACAGGAUUAGAUACCCCAGUAGUCCCUGUCUCUUAUAA